GGCGAUGUGGCUCAGUUGGUAGAGUGCUUGCCUGACAUGCAUGAAGUCCUGGGUUUGAUGCCCAGCACCA
This is a transfer RNA of Neotoma lepida (desert woodrat), 70 nucleotides long. It matches the Rfam family "tRNA". From Rfam's summary of the family: Transfer RNA (tRNA) molecules are approximately 80 nucleotides in length. Their secondary structure includes four short double-helical elements and three loops (D, anti-codon, and T loops). NCBI's taxonomy places the organism in Eukaryota, Metazoa, Chordata, Mammalia, Rodentia, Cricetidae. The record is from Rfam.